UCAUACCUUAAAAAUCCGUAAAUAAUAACCAACAUUAAGAUAAACUGUUUCGUUACAACAAAUUUCUUAUCUGUGAAAAUGUUGUAAUUGUAACAUCAAAAUCGAUUUGGUAAUGACAUUCAAAUUUCGAACAUAUCUGAAAAAAAAAAACAAUUCGAUUCGACCUCUAUUCUAAUAUCAGUCGAGUCUCCUUUUUGUUCGACAAUUUUGACAAAUCUCGCAUGUUAGUUUGUAUCGAACGAUACGGAAAUAGGCCCCCGACUCUAGUUUGUCUCUGAAUUUAUAAAAAAACUACGAAUGUGUGACAUGCGUGAAAAUUUGACGUACAGUUUAUCUUUUAAUUAGUUUUAAGUAUAAAAUGAGUUUGUUUUGUUGUUUUUAAAGUAACUAUGUAUAGCAAAAGUUUCGUUUAAAAUGAGCGAUAAACAUAUUUCGGCGACGUCGCCACAUAUCUGCGAGUUCCGCCAAAAGAGCAACGAUACCCCAAUGUUGGCUAUAAUUUGGUGAUGACGGGACGGCAAUACGGCUCGGGCGCUGACACGGCGGCCACGGCGAACGAGACCAACACGUCGAGGCGCGCGAGCACGUGGGACAGGCAGAACAGGCAUUCGGAGUAGCCAGCUGGAAAAGAUAAUGUUUUACAACCGUUUAAUGGCAACAAAGAUAUUGACUAUAGAAGAGGUGUAAAUUCUAUGAAAAAAUUAUGUCUCUGAGUUUGAAACCUGAAAUAGAUGGCGCUAUACGGCGUUA
This is a long non-coding RNA of Cydia pomonella (codling moth), 750 nucleotides long. RefSeq lists it as uncharacterized. The record is from RefSeq and is a predicted model, not a curated record. Lineage: Eukaryota; Metazoa; Arthropoda; Insecta; Lepidoptera; Tortricidae. The transcript has 2 exons.